CCAACGCCUCCAACGCCAGACACCAUUCCGCCCUCGCUAUCGCUCACCAUCGCUAAACACCAUUUCUGCCUUCGCCGUCGACCAGUGGCAGUCCGAGACGGCGGCAACCCUCCUCGAUGCUGAGUAGCAGCGGCGCCCUCCCUUCCUUCCCCUCUCCCUCUCGGUUAGCACCGACCAUGGUCGGACUCCGUCCAAAUGGCAGCAGCGACGGACAGAAACGGAGACCAGUUCGGCCAUCGGUUCAGCGAUGCCAUUGCCCAGUUCUCUGACUGCCUCGCCUUCGUACAACGCGUAGCAGCAGCGAGCUCCGGCUACUAGCAGCGUCUGGUCGGCCACAUCUGGUUGCGACAAAAAAAUCCGGCGAGAAGAUCUGCGACGGCGAUGUACUGGGCAAGCAAGAAUCCGGCGAGCUCCUAAUCCUAUUAUUUUCUCAGACUUAUAAUGAAGUUCAGCAUUGCUUUCUAAUAGUUGGUUCGCUGUACCCUGAGGAUUUGUUUUUGUUCCUUCUCAAUGUAGAGAAACAUAGCAGAGAAAAGAAUCUCUUGACCAGCAGUGAAUAUCCAAGAAGAAACGACAGUUAGAUUUGAGAAUGAAUUCAUUGUUGCUGGUGGAAAAGGUGAACCUGCUGAAGUAAUGUCUGAAUAUGGUUUCAAGUAAUUUUGGAAAUGUAAUUUCUUAGUGUUUGUAUUGACUAUUGAGAAUUACAGUUUGUAAAAAAGAAUGUCUUUGUUAGUAAUUCAGACUAUUAUAUUUUUGUUUAGACUUGAAUUGGCUAGUAUUACUUACUAAAUGUAAAUGUAGAUUGAUAAUGUUAUUUUGGAAUUGUAAUUUCUUAGUGUUUGUAUUGACUAUUGAGAAUUACAUGAGAAUUACUGUUUGUAAAAAA
This is a long non-coding RNA of Ipomoea triloba (trilobed morning glory), 886 nucleotides long. RefSeq lists it as uncharacterized. The record is from RefSeq and is a predicted model, not a curated record. The transcript has 4 exons. Lineage: Eukaryota; Viridiplantae; Streptophyta; Magnoliopsida; Solanales; Convolvulaceae.